This 433-nucleotide ribosomal RNA is filed under the name uncultured bacterium. Its description in RNAcentral is "partial 16S ribosomal RNA". It matches the Rfam family "Bacterial small subunit ribosomal RNA", at positions 29 to 507 of the family's 1533-position model. The record is from RNAcentral.
AACGAACGCUGGCGGCAGGCCUAACACAUGCAAGUCGAACGACACCUUCGUGUCUGGUGGCGCACGCGUGCGUAACGCGGGGGAACGUGCCCGUAUGUACGGGAUAACACCUUGACGUGGGGGCUAAUACCGGAUAAUUUCCUCUGACAAAAGAUUUAUCGUCUUGGGGUGGGCACGCGUUGGUUUAGCUAGUUGCGAGUGAAAGAGCCUACCAAGGCUACGAUCCAUAGCGGGUCUGAGAGGAUGAUCCGCGACACUGGGACUGAGACACGGCGGAGAAUCCUACGCGAGGCAGCAGUGGGGAAUCCUGGCAUACCGGGGGAAUCCUGAUCCAGCUAUGCCGCGUGAGCGAUGAAGGCCUUAGGGUUGUAAAGCUCUUUUAUACGGGACGAUAAUGACGGUACCCGAAGAAUAAGCACCGGCUAACUCCGUG